RNAcentral lists this ribosomal RNA (253 nucleotides) under uncultured bacterium. Its description in RNAcentral is "partial 16S ribosomal RNA". It matches the Rfam family "Bacterial small subunit ribosomal RNA", at positions 524 to 776 of the family's 1533-position model. The record is from RNAcentral.
UACGUAGGGUGCAAGCGUUGUCCGGAAUUAUUGGGCGUAAAGAGCUCGUAGGCGGUUUGUUGCGUCGGCUGUGAAAUCCCGAGGCUCAACCUCGGGUCUGCAGUCGAUACGAGCAAACUAGAGUGUUGCAGGGGAGACUGGAAUUCCUGGUGUAGCGGUGAAAUGCGCAGAUAUCAGGAGGAACACCGGUGGCGAAGGCAGCACUCUGGGACGUGGCUGACGCUGAGACGCGAAAGCGUGGGGAGCAAACAGG